This 27-nucleotide non-coding RNA is filed under the name Mus musculus (house mouse). The record is from RNAcentral. Lineage: Eukaryota; Metazoa; Chordata; Mammalia; Rodentia; Muridae.
UAAGACCGUGUGUGAUCCCAUGAUCAG